GAUGAACGCUGGCGGCGUGCCUAAUACAUGCAAGUCGAGCGAACAGACGAGGAGCUUGCUCCUCUGACGUUAGCGGCGGCCGGGUGAGUAACACGUGGAUAACCUACCUAUAAGACUGGGAUAACUUCGGGAAACCGGAGCUAAUCCCGGAUAAUAUAUUGAACCGCAUGGUUCAAUAGUGAAAGACGGUUUUGCUGUCACUUAUAGAUGGAUCCGCGCCGCAUUAGCUAGUUGGUAAGGUAACGGCUUGCCAAGGCAACUAUGCGUAGCCGACCUGAGAGGGUGAUCGGCCACACUGGAACUGAGACACGGUCCAGACUCCUACGGGAGGCAGCAGUAGGGAAUCUUCCGCAGUGGGCGAAAGCCUGACGGAGCAACGCCGCGUGAGUGAUGAAGGUCUUCGGAUCGUAAAACUCUGUUAUUAGGGAAGAACAAAUGUGUAAGUAACUAUGCACGUCUUGACGGUACCUAAUCAGAAAGCCACGGCUAACUACGUG
This 497-nucleotide ribosomal RNA is filed under the name uncultured bacterium. Its description in RNAcentral is "partial 16S ribosomal RNA". It matches the Rfam family "Bacterial small subunit ribosomal RNA", at positions 28 to 507 of the family's 1533-position model. The record is from RNAcentral.